GGGAUGUUGUAGGAGAAGAGGUUGGAAAUAACCGAGAGGUCUGUGGUAGGGAUCUCAUAAGAGGCGGUAGACCAUAUAGUUAAAGUCGUCAAUACUUGUGAAGCCAGUGAAGAGAGCCUUUGUAAGAUAUAAUAGCACGAAGGUAGUCGAAGGCAUGUAGCUAGUGAAAGGUGGUGGUGGCAUGGGUAGGCACGUUGGCCUUGCCGUAAAGGGAGAUCGGGCGGAUGGUGAAGUCUUUGGGGGCAAAAUCGGUGCAAUAGCACUUCUUGUACUUGAGGAUGGGCUCAAUGGCAUUGGAGUGUUAGGCAACAGAGAGGCGAUGGAUAGAUAUCUCAUAGAUACAAUACUUGUAAAAAGAUGUAGCAUUACUCAUAAAACUUUUUGAAGGCGACAACAUGCUUGUUGGGGUUGCGCUCCUAGAAAAGGUAGUUGAUGGUGGUUUCUAGGAGGUUCGAGUAGGAAUCAGGGUUAGGAUUUGAAAAAGAGACGAAAAGAUGGGAGAGAUGUUAGGAGAGGUGUAGGCCAGCGGACAUAGAUUUUAGCCUGUUAGUCCAAAGAGAGCGAGGAGGGGGGUUUAAUGGAGGAUGGAGGUUUUGCGCUUUAAGGAGAUUUGGUUGGACUUAAGGGGGCACCAUGAUGAAUUUCCCAAUUUCAUAUGGAUUGGUAUGAGGUGAACCAAAAAAUAAUAUUUAUUUAGUUAGGGGUUUGCUAAUAAUUUUGCCUAUCUUUGCAUGGCUGACAAAUUAUACCUAGUUUGUGAUCCAGGGCUCAUGAGUGAUCAAGUCUCUUCCAAGAACUCACGAGUAAUUUUUCUCGUCAGAUUAAUGGGAAUAACAUUUGCCGAUUUUGAUAGUGGUCGUAACAUAAGAACUAAUAAGUAAUUCGUAUUCAUCCAAGAUAAAAUUUGAUCCAAUCCCCUCUGUCUUUAUGGCGAUUGAUUCCUCUGUUGCUAAGAUCUAUGGCCGAUUCUCACGUUUCUCGGAAAGAUCUUCCGAUUUUUGGUCAAGAAGCUAUGGAAGGGCGAUUCAGAAAGACUGCAAGUUUUUCCAAGAAGAUCGAGAUUGACGAUUCCUGACCAAAGAAAAGCUACGAACAAGCGACAAUUGGCGCGCAGACCACCGUAAGCAAGAAGGGGUUCAAUCAAUUUAUCUGGCUUGUUAAAAUGGAGCAAUCACUUUCCAAAUUAAAGACAAAGAAGGGGAGACUAAUCCGGCCGUUGUCUUAGAUAUCGGAUGAGAUCAGAGCCGUCCAUAUUCUGUUGCUUGCGGGACGUCUGUGACGCCCCGUCUAUAAGAAGGCCUAGACUGGGUCACUUCUUCUUUGUCCUUCCGCUUCCACUUACUCUCAUUACGCGAGGAGAGGCUAGAGGAGAGAGGCAUGCCACACAACCAAGGUCGAGAACUCACCAUCGCCACACGCCUCGCGGUGGGCCUUCGCGAUCUCGUCUCCAUCUUAUCCAUCGCCACUGUUGGAUUCAUGCUCGCAGAUCCGCCGCCAGGCGACCUCGAUCUGAGGUCGGCGGCGUCCGUUCUUUUCAGUCUUCUCGCCUUCACUGCCGGCAUGCUGCUUUUGUACGGCGCCAUCGCCGGCAUCCGUAUGCCGCUGCUCUACGUGGAAUUCCUGACGUUGGUGGCCUUCUCGUCGUCGUGCGCCGUUCUGAUUCUCUACCCAUCCCCUGCUGGCCGCGCUUCGCGGGCACUUCCGGCAGCCAUCGACGUCGUCGAGGAUGCGGUCGCGGGUUGUCCGGUGCCUUCCUUAUUGAAUAAUAUAUUCUUUCCUCUGUUCUGGAGGAAAAAAGUUAGUAGGCCUGGGUGCCUCUAAGGGCCUUGUAUCUGUUUUAUUUUUAGUUUGCUUUUGGUUUUGUGAUCAAUGUUCUUCUUCUUCUUUGGGUUUACGGUAGGUAGAAUUGAGGUGAUUGAUUUUCUGUGACGAGAUCUACUCUUCUCCUUCAAGAGGAAACACACAAAGCCCUCCGAUUUGACUUUGAUCACAUGGUUACUGACGAUCAUGGCAGUAGCACAGUUUGUCUUCCUUAGGAAAUCAUCCGAUAAUUCCACCAAGAAAGAAAGGAAAAAAAAAAAAAUACAUCAGAUAAAGCACCCGUGCAAGGCCUAAAUGAGACAAGAAAAAGGGAAUUGUUCGAAACUCUUAGCUGUGGUUACCUGUUUCUUUUUAAGCGAUGGAUAUGGGAUGCUAUUCAUUGGGAUUUUUUUUUUUUCCUUUUUUCUUCUUUUGUUUCAAGCAAGAGUAAAGAACGUUCUCUGAAAGAAUCUCUUGACAAUACAGAGUCAGAUUUCAGAUCACGAUGAUGCAGAAGCCACAUCGACAGAUAAUUUGUUCCCCUGGAUGGAAUUCUACUUGGAAUAGUAGAUGAAUUGUGAUGGAUAUGCCUUGUUAAGGUGCUAUGCAAGUAAAAUUUGUCAAAUCUAACUUCGUCGGGAUUAAAAUAAAAUAAAAGUCACUGCAUAAGCUGGUAACAUCCUCCUCCAAUUUCAUCUGCUUAGUCUUACGGGGCAAUCGAGAACAAUUAACUGAUUGCACUAGAACACUUGAUCUUAUCAAAGCAUCUGGAAUUCUAAUCAUAUCAUCCUUGCAAUCUUUGCCUUGAUCGUCUUACUUGGGUUGAUUUAUCAAUUUGUGGGUCGAUGCAGCUGUUUUAUUAUUUUGCGAACUUUUUUUUCUCCUUACAUUUUCUCUCCUUCAUCUUAUAUGAUAGCCACUGCUGCUGUCAAACGGGUGCCAGUCCUUGACGAUAAAGUGUCCGUACCAAUGGAUGUGGUGUUGCUACCCGGGUCUAUUUCCUCUCCAAGUCCGCGGCAAUCAAACAAAGUUUAUUCCGCGGGGCGGCUCCAGCUGGCCAAAGGCCAACGCGGCACUCUUACCAAAAGAAAAGAAAAGGCCAAUACGGCACCUCCAGUCUCCGUUGCUUCUGUGGACUCUGAGGCGAAAAGAAGGCAAGCGUCGCGGUACAGGAUUAAAAACGCUGGAACGUGGUGGAAGUAGGUUACACGUCAUGGACCCAUUUUUAAACAUAUUUUACCUUGACUUGUUUGGUUGAUCAUGCAAUGUUUUUUCCGUACUAAAAUAUAUCUUUUUUUUUAAAAAAAGUUAAUGUUUUGAUAGAUGAUAGUUGAAAAAAUAUUUUUUA
Molecule: long non-coding RNA, 3148 nt
Organism: Elaeis guineensis (African oil palm)
Lineage: Eukaryota; Viridiplantae; Streptophyta; Magnoliopsida; Arecales; Arecaceae
Source: RefSeq, a predicted model, not a curated record